Molecule: ribosomal RNA, 1494 nt
Filed under: Triticum aestivum (bread wheat)
Lineage: Eukaryota; Viridiplantae; Streptophyta; Magnoliopsida; Poales; Poaceae
Description: partial small subunit ribosomal RNA
Source: RNAcentral
AUGUCGGGUCGGCUUGCUUCCGUGCCGGAGGAGACCACCUCCGGCUACGAGGCUCUCUCCCUCUACCGCCGUCGGAUCCGGACCAUCGACGUGUCCGCGGCACAGACAACAUCGCCUUUCUUGUCCGCCUACCAGUCCGGUCAUAGCGGAUCCAGCUACUCCAGCUACACCGGUACCUCGAGUUCUGAUCACAUGUCCAACAACUCCGGCAGCUCCCCCCGUUGGGUGUCUGCCGCCGCUACGGACUUGGGCGCCCACGAGCUCGCCAUGGUCGCUCGGCAAAUGGUCAGCGACGGCUACAUCGAGCGCUUGGUUCAAGCAGCAAAUGACACCACUUGUCCCAUCCAGGAAUAUGGAUACGGCCUCGGCAAGCACCGCGUUGUGGACAAUUGGUUCUUUGAGCUUGACGUGGACUGGGUUCUCCGAAUCCAAAGCAAGCAUGACUUAUCUCAGCAACUGCAGCUCCAAGACAAGUCAGCGUCAUGGCUCCAAAACUAUGUGGAGCGAUGGGUUCGAGCUCUCAUGGUGAUUGCCUAUAGUAUCCAAGAGAUACUCGCGGUCACCUCAUUUGGCAGCACGGGCAUCAACAAUAUGGUCGUCUUCGUGGAUGCCAUCAUCCCUCUUCUCAAGGUGGAGAAUCUACGGCACCUGCUAAAUAUGUAUGUAUGUGUGUCCAAAGCUUGGUACAUUAUGACGCCUCCAGAAGACCAAAGCAUAAUCAACCACAUAGUCGGCCCGCUGCCGAGAGCAAUGAACAAGCUAAGCGAUGCCAUAUCCAGCACGAUGGAGCAGGUGAGGACACUCAUGGAGGAUGACAACUCGUGGGCUAUCGAGAUUCCGCGAGGAGGAGGUGGGGUUCACAGGAACACCCAGUUGAUGGUGGAUUACAUUGUGACCAUGAGAGAAGCAUUGGCGUCGAUGCUAAACUCUGCACCAAGCCAAACCACUGUAAAUCUUUGUGCCCUGAUAGAAGACACGACUGGUUAUCUUAAGGAUCUUCUUCUGAGAAAGUCAGAGCUAUGCUUGGACCUAAGCCUGAGGUACCUAUUCCUGCUCAACAAUUUCUAUUUUAUAGCACAGGUGCCUGAGCCUUCGGGAUCGUUAAAUCUUGAAAUAUGGUCUGGACACCACAGCGGACUUAAUCUUUCGCCUGAAUGCGAAAAGUACAUGGAUAGCUAUCUUGAUGUUUCGUGGGGUCAUGUGCUGUCCUGCAUACCGCAUUCGAAUUCUCGUGGACCAUUCCAUUGUUUGAUCAACACAUCUUCGCUAGUUAAAUUUCAGUCGGCGUUUCACAAAACAUACCAGGCCCAGAAGUUCUGGAAGGUUCUCGAUCCUCGGCUCAGAGAUGCAAUGCGGAGAACUAUCACCGUAAGAGUCAUUUCAGAUUACCGCGACUACCUGGAGGAGCAUCCGGAGGUUGAGAAACACGUUAGCAGCGGAAGCAACAGUCCCGACAUUUUGGAAGAGAUGCUAGGGGAGCUAUUUGAAGGAUGA